Molecule: unclassified non-coding RNA, 263 nt
Filed under: plant metagenome
Description: partial contains small subunit ribosomal RNA, internal transcribed spacer 1, and 5.8S ribosomal RNA
Source: RNAcentral
UUUCCGUAGGUGAACCUGCGGAAGGAUCAUUAUUGUAUAAUCGAGGUGCGAGGGCUGUCGCUGACCCGAAAGGUCGUGCACGCCCGAGUGCCCUCGCACACAUCCAUCUCACCCCUAUGUGCACCACCGCGUGGGUCCCCCUUUGGCUUGUUCGGAGGGGGGCUUACGUUUUCACACAAACUUUGUAUGCAGUGUAGAAUGUAUUUUUUGUUUUUGCGAUCACGCAAUCAAUACAACUUUCAACAACGGAUCUCUUGGCUCUC